UGGGGAAUUGUUCGCAAUGGGCGCAAGCCUGACGACGCAACGCCGCGUGGAGGAUGAAGACCUUCGGGUCGUAAACUCCUUUCGAUCGAGACGAACGGCUCCCGGACGAAUAAUCCGGGAGAGUGACGGUACCGAGAGAAGAAGCCCCGGCUAACUCCGUGCCAGCAGCCGCGGUAAUACGGGGGGGGCAAGCGUUGUUCGGAAUUACUGGGCGUAAAGGGCUCGUAGGCUGCCAACUAAGUCAGACGUGAAAUCCCUCGGCUUAACCGGGGAACUGCGUCUGAUACUGGAUGGCUUGAGAUCGGGAGAGGGAUGCGGAAUUCCAGGUGUAGCGGUGAAAUGCGUAGAUAUCUGGAGGAACACCGGUGGCGAAGGCGGCAUCCUGGACCGACACUGACGCUGAGGAGCGAAAGCCAGGGGAGCAAACGGGAUUAGAUACCCCCGUAGUCC
This 450-nucleotide ribosomal RNA is filed under the name uncultured bacterium. RNAcentral describes it as "bacterial SSU rRNA". It matches the Rfam family "Bacterial small subunit ribosomal RNA", at positions 355 to 796 of the family's 1533-position model. The record is from RNAcentral.